ACUCGGGUGAAGGAACUAGGCAAAAUGGUACCGUAACUUCGGGAGAAGGUACGCUCUUGAUGGUGAAGUCCCUUGCGGAUGGAGCUGACGAGAGUCGCAGAUACCAGGUGGCUGCAACUGUUUAUUAAAAACACAGCACUGUGCAAAAUCGUAAGAUGACGUAUACGGUGUGACGCCUGCCCGGUGCCGGAAGGUUAAUUGAUGGGGUUAGACUUCGGUCGAAGCUCUUGAUCGAAGCCCCGGUAAACGGCGGCCGUAACUAUAACGGUCCUAAGGUAGCGAAAUUCCUUGUCGGGUAAGUUCCGACCUGCACGAAUGGCGUAAUGAUGGCCACGCUGUCUCCACCCGAGACUCAGUGAAAUUGAAAUCGCUGUGAAGAUGCAGUGUACCCGCGGCUAGACGGAAAGACCCCGUGAACCUUUACUACAGCUUGGCACUGAACAUUGACCCUACAUGUGUAGGAUAGGUGGGAGGCUUUGAAGCACGUACGCCAGUAUGUGUGGAGCCGUCCUUGAAAUACCACCCUUGUAGUGUUGAUGUUCUAACGUCGACCCCUAAUCGGGGUUGCGGACAGUGCCUGGUGGGUAGUUUGACUGGGGCGGUCUCCUCCCAAAGAGUAACGGAGGAGCACGAAGGUGGGCUAAUCACGGUUGGACAUCGUGAGGUUAGUGCAAUGGCAUAAGCCCGCUUGACUGCGAGAAUGACAAUUCGAGCAGGUGCGAAAGCAGGUCAUAGUGAUCCGGUGGUUCUGAAUGGAAGGGCCAUCGCUCAACGGAUAAAAGGUACUCCGGGGAUAACAGGCUGAUACCGCCCAAGAGUUCAUAUCGACGGCGGUGUUUGGCACCUCGAUGUCGGCUCAUCACAUCCUGGGGCUGAAGUCGGUCCCAAGGGUAUGGCUGUUCGCCAUUUAAAGUGGUACGCGAGCUGGGUUUAGAACGUCGUGAGACAGUUCGGUCCCUAUCUGCCGUGGGCGUUGGAAGAUUGAAGGGGGCUGCUCCUAGUACGAGAGGACCGGAGUGGACGAACCUCUGGUGUUCGGGUUGUGUCGCCAGACGCAUUGCCCGGUAGCUAAGUUCGGAAUCGAUAACCGCUGAAAGCAUCUAAGCGGGAAGCGAGCCCUGAGAUGAGUCUUCCCUGAUACUUUAAGUAUCCUAAAGGGUUGUCGGAGACUACGACGUUGAUAGGUCAGGUGUGUAAGUGCUGUGAGGCAUUGAGCUAACUGAUACUAAUUG
Molecule: ribosomal RNA, 1232 nt
Filed under: Vibrio parahaemolyticus
Lineage: Bacteria; Pseudomonadati; Pseudomonadota; Gammaproteobacteria; Vibrionales; Vibrionaceae
Description: partial 23S ribosomal RNA
Rfam family: Bacterial large subunit ribosomal RNA
Source: RNAcentral